UCUUCUUUGACAUGAGUUGCGGUGCAUCAUCCCCGACGUCGAGGGUACACGUGACGUGUUCGUGUGCGAACAAUGUGCACUUACAUUGCUGCCGUGGCGGGUAAAGCUCAAAAGUUUUGAGUUUUUUAGAAAUGUUAAUAUUGGCCGCAUGCUUCCCGUUUGCUAACAGAAAAUUAUUCUAAGCACGGUAAGCGUGAUGCCAGGGAAGUUGCUAAGUCAUGACGUAGUUUGAAAAAAGCCUCAACCACAAUCAAAAAAUUAAGGUGCAACCCAAAUCAGCGGAAACACGACAACGGUAGCACCACAUCCAAUUUAAAAGAUCUUUGAUCAAAGAGCUCAUGACCUUAAGGGAGAAAGUCCACCCAGUAAGAAGGCGGCGUCCAGCCAGGAGCCACCAUAGACAGGGAGGAGAGAUAUAAAUCAGCCCAUCAAGCAUCAGGCUGCGAACAUUCCUUUUGAAUUCUCAACCAGGAAAUGUUAGACAGAGCAAACCAAGUAUGUUCUAUGUUUUUCAAGUGUGCCCAAGCCCACAAACCCUGAUCAAGCUUUGGCAAAUUGAUUCCAACUACCAUCCUCGUAUACAAAACCAGAAACUAAGCUAGUUGCUCUUUCACGAAUAGAAGAAUGGACGUCAACAACAUCAUAAACGAAUUUUCUGAGCUAGAUUUGAUGAUAAACACAUUCAAGAUGCUACAAUGCACAGUUGGAAUGAUAACCAGGUCUGGUAUAUAAAAGCAAAUGGAAGAAUUAACCUAGCUACAAAAUCAUAACUAGCCUCAUCCCCCCACACUGAGUCACUCUAUCAACUUUGAACAUAAACCUAACCAGAUAAAGUUACAACAGGAAUUAAUCUAGCAAAGAUGAGACUUGUCGCAUUCGGCCCAUGGGCCAGCCAAUCUACUCUUGAGGAGGUCCUUGAGGUCCACGGUCACGACCCCCAGAGUGCCCACGGCCACGGCCACGGCCACGCCCACGUCCUCGGCCUCAACCCCUUCCUCCAUCACCUUCUGCACAGGAGAUUAAUAAUAAGAUACAUUGCUUAGCGAUGAUUAAAACCAUAUUCAGAGAGAAGUUGGGCAACUGAAAAAGAAUUAUUCAAAGGAAUGCCAAAGUCAAAGCACAAUAUUAACAUCACAUUUGAGAGGUUAAAUAUUAUUAUCUGUGGUUCUGCACGUCUCUAAUGAAGUGGUUAAUUAAUAUAUCGCAUAUAUGUCAUUAAGUGAUAAAAAAAACUGGGGCCAAAAUUAAAAAAUUGAGGGCUGUUAAGUAAAAAAAUUAAACAGAACUAACCAUAUCCUUGCACAGGAGGUCCAUUAUGCUCCACGCCAUGAUACCCACCAGCUUCUUCAUUUACAUAGCCAUAGCCAUCACCACCAUAACCCCUUCCAGGCCCAAAGGCUCCACGCCUACCCCUUCCU
This 1418-nucleotide long non-coding RNA is filed under the name Hordeum vulgare. RNAcentral's name for it is "long non-coding RNA (HVUL_LNC004818)". Lineage: Eukaryota; Viridiplantae; Streptophyta; Magnoliopsida; Poales; Poaceae. The record is from RNAcentral.